This 301-nucleotide ribosomal RNA is filed under the name uncultured bacterium. RNAcentral's name for it is "partial 16S ribosomal RNA". It matches the Rfam family "Bacterial small subunit ribosomal RNA", at positions 509 to 807 of the family's 1533-position model. The record is from RNAcentral.
CAGUAGCCACGGGAAUACGUAGGGAGCAAGCGUUGUUCGGAUUUACUGGGCGUAAAGGGCGCGUAGGCGGCGCGGUAAGUCACUUGUGAAAUCUCUGAGCUUAACUCAGAACGGCCAAGUGAUACUGCUGUGCUAGAGUGCGGAAGAGGCAACCGGAAUUCUUGGUGUAGCGGUGAAAUGCGUAGAUAUCAAGAGGAACACCUGAGGCGAAGGCGGGUUGCUGGGCCGACACUGACGCUGAUGCGCGAAAGCCAGGGGAGCAAACGGGAUUAGAUACCCGCGUAGUCCCUGUCUCUUAUAC